This 164-nucleotide ribosomal RNA is filed under the name Meira argovae. RNAcentral describes it as "partial large subunit ribosomal RNA". It matches the Rfam family "Eukaryotic large subunit ribosomal RNA", at positions 99 to 261 of the family's 3401-position model. Lineage: Eukaryota; Fungi; Basidiomycota; Exobasidiomycetes; Exobasidiales; Brachybasidiaceae. The record is from RNAcentral.
CGGGAAUAGCUCAAAUUUGAAAGCUGGCAGAAAUGUCCGCGUUGUAAUCUCGAGAAGUGUUUUCCGUGCUGGACCAUAGAUAUGUUCCUUGGAAUAGGAUAUCAUAGAGGGUGAGAAUCCCGUACAUGCUAUGGACGCCCAGUGCUUUGUGAUACAUUUUCGAA